AUUGAACGCUGGCGGCAUGCCUUACACAUGCAAGUCGAACGGCAGCACGGGAGCAAUCCUGGUGGCGAGUGGCGAACGGGUGAGUAAUACAUCGGAACGUGCCCAGUAGUGGGGGAUAGCCCGGCGAAAGCCGGAUUAAUACCGCAUACGACCUACGGGUGAAAGCGGGGGAUCGCAAGACCUCGCGCUAUCGGAGCGGCCGAUGUCAGAUUAGCUAGUUGGNGGGGUAAAGGCCUACCAAGGCGACGAUCUGUAGCUGGUCUGAGAGGACGACCAGCCACACUGGGACUGAGACACGGCCCAGACUCCUACGGGAGGCAGCAGUGGGGAAUUUGGGCAAUGGGCGAAAGCCUGACCCAGCAACGCCGCGUGAAGGAUGAAGUAUUUCGGUAUGUAAACUUCGAAAGAAUAGGAANAAUAAAUGACGGUACUAUUUAUAAGGUCCGGCUAACUACGUGCC
Molecule: ribosomal RNA, 460 nt
Filed under: uncultured bacterium
Lineage: Bacteria
Description: bacterial SSU rRNA
Rfam family: Bacterial small subunit ribosomal RNA
Source: RNAcentral